CUCCUCUGUCUUCCUUCCCUGUCAGAGGAUUUCCCCUCUUAGCGACUCAAGUUGGGGACUGUGUAGACGCUGCUACUGGGUUAGUCAGUGCAGACUCUGGUGAGUAACUGGGUAAUUAUUUCCAAAAAUAUUGACUUGUAAUGUGAAGAAAGCUCUUCUCCAUGCCACCCGUCAGCAGAAAAUUGCCUUUGGUAUUAACAUUUCACCAACUGCAUAAUGUGAAUUGAUGUAAAUGCAUAAUUAGAAAUAAUAGCCUGGGAAAAUUCACUCUUAUUUAUAAAAUUGGGCUUGUUAAAUUAAAAUGGAAGCUAACAGCUUCCAUCUCACUCUUACAACAUGUCGGAGGCUGUGCCUGCCUGGUUCUGCAGAACCCUCCAUCAGCGGGUAGGGGCGUGUCCGUGGCUCAGUGGGGAGACCUUGGAGAGGGGACACUCGGUGAGCAGGCAUGGACGCCACCUGUCCAAAAGGUGGCUCUCUAGCAACACGCACAGGCCUCUCGAAGACGUCUUAAUCAACAGGCAACCAAUGGCAACCCCUCGGGGAAGAGGGCUGGGGCCAGUUUCCUCAGCCCUCCUUCUUGUGGAAUGGGGACCAGCACACCUGCCCCACCCGAGUCCCAGGGACGUGGUGGGGGCUGGGUACGAUGCUGUGCUGUGCUGGGGCAUCGAGGCACAGGAACGUGCUCUGCAAACGCUAAGAGUUUGCCGAGGGCAGGGAGAAGAGAAACUUCAUCAUCAUCAUCAUCAUCAUCAUCACCAUCGAUAUUCAUUCAUUCAUUCAACAAGCACUCAUUAAGCAUCUACUACUCCAUGCCAGUCCCUGUGCCAGAUGGUGGAGGUAUAGAGGUUCUUUCUCUGCAUGUUGGCCUCAUUCUCUCUACUCUUGCAGGCUGUGCCCUCCUGACGUCGGGUCCUGUUCUCUGCAGUUGAGCCCAGAGGGCCUGGCACUCGUGGAGGCCGUCGUCCUGUCUUCUCCAGGCCUGGAAGCUGUGGUGAAGUCAAGGGGAGGGGCUGCCCGGGGCUGCCCUGGGGAGCGGGGUGAGGGCGAGAGCGAUGGAGAAAUGCGUGGUUCUUAUUUCCGACGCUAAGGCCCAGGGAGGAGGGGCUGCCUUAGGUCUUUCUGGUCUGUUUUCAGAGGAGGGCUCCGAGGGCCUCAGACUGCGAGGUGCCUGUGGGCUCCGGGGGCGGGGGCUAUUUUCGCCUCACCCUGGCACCUCCUCUUGGGUGCCUUCCGGGGACUGGGGAACUGCGUGCGGGUGGCUGUCCAUCUUGUCUACCUGUCCAGCAGGUGCAGGGCCCGCAGCAGCCCACCCAGCCCCCCGUGCUGUGUCUGGUGUCCCCUUCAUGUGGGGCCUGGCCCUCCCGGGGACGGCGCACUCGGUCCUCGAGCUGU
RNAcentral lists this long non-coding RNA (1392 nucleotides) under Equus caballus (horse). RNAcentral's name for it is "lncRNA (ENSECAG00000045548.1)". The record is from RNAcentral. Lineage: Eukaryota; Metazoa; Chordata; Mammalia; Perissodactyla; Equidae.